RNAcentral lists this ribosomal RNA (280 nucleotides) under uncultured bacterium. RNAcentral's name for it is "partial 16S ribosomal RNA". It matches the Rfam family "Bacterial small subunit ribosomal RNA", at positions 74 to 354 of the family's 1533-position model. The record is from RNAcentral.
CCUGCACCUGCCGGCGACCGGCGCACCGGGUGAGUAACACGUAUGGAACCUGCCCGCCACAGGGGGAUAACCCGGGGAAACCCGGCCUAAGUACCCCAUGCCGCCCGGACCGGGCAUCCGGUCCGGGCGAAAGGAGGAAUCCGGUGGCGGCUGGGCAUGCGGCGCAUUAGCUUGACGGCGGGGUAACGGCCCACCGUGGCGACGAUGCGUAGGGGUUCUGAGAGGAAGGCCCCCCACACUGGAACUGAGACACGGUCCAGACUCCUACGGGAGGCAGCAG